RNAcentral lists this ribosomal RNA (427 nucleotides) under uncultured bacterium. RNAcentral describes it as "bacterial SSU rRNA". It matches the Rfam family "Bacterial small subunit ribosomal RNA", at positions 28 to 454 of the family's 1533-position model. The record is from RNAcentral.
GACGAUCGCUGGCGGCGUGCCUAACACAUGCAAAGUCGAACGGGGUAAAUUGCUUCGGUGAUUUACUUAGUGGCGAACGGGUGAGUAACGCGUGAGAAACCUGCCUUCCAGUGGGGGACAACAGUUGGAAACGACUGCUAAUACCGCAUAACAUAUUUGAAGGGCAUCCUUUGGAUAUCAAAGCUUUAUGUGCUGGAAGAUGGUCUCGCGUCUGAUUAGCUAGUUGGUGGGGUAACGGCUCACCAAGGCGACGAUCAGUAGCCGACCUGAGAGGGUGAUCGGCCACAUUGGAACUGAGACACGGUCCAAACUCCUACGGGAGGCAGCAGUGGGGAAUAUUGCACAAUGGGCGAAAGCCUGAUGCAGCAACGCCGCGUGAGCGAAGAAGGCCUCGGUUGUAAAGCUCUGUCCUUAGGGUAAGAGUAAU